RNAcentral lists this long non-coding RNA (768 nucleotides) under Canis lupus familiaris (dog). RNAcentral describes it as "lncRNA (ENSCAFG00040018679.1)". The record is from RNAcentral. Lineage: Eukaryota; Metazoa; Chordata; Mammalia; Carnivora; Canidae.
AUCCUGGUGUGGCUACAGAGAGACUUACAAAUAAAUACUGGAAGUACCCCACGCUGAGCUUUCUUGAAAAGAAGGUUCCCCAAUAUGUGUUGACAGUGAUGCAGUUACAUGAGGUUGGCGUAUUUCACACUAGGUUUUAAGCGAUGUGACCCCCAUGCCUGACUGGCAGACAGGAUGCCACAGCAUGCUUCUCAGAAUGAGGCCGUGGCUCCCACGGGCCCAGGAGGUUCUUCAGUGUCCUGUGCCUGCCCGUGGGGCAGAGGGUGCUGGCUGCCGGGCUGUGUGCUCCCCGGGCCUGGGUGUGGAGUUAGAAUCCGACUCUGAAUCUAGGAUCAUAUGUCUUCGAUUUGGAGACUGUGUAUCUUUGAUUUUCCCAUUUUAGAGUCCUGUUUUAGCAGAACCCAGAUCCUGUUGAAAGUGGUAGAAGCUGAAUGCUCUUCCCUAGAAAACUCGGUGUCAGAUUUGCUGUGGAAUCAGAGGCUGAGCCUGUUCUCCUUGUGGAUUGAAAAGCCAGCAGAGCGUUUAUACCGGAUGGCCGUGCGCUUCCCUGAACUCUGCUGUGUCGCUAAGCAGAUGGCAUCCUGGCGAGAGCUCCGUGUGCACACAUGUAGUGAAUGUGCUUUGACCAUAGAAAGGACUAUACUCAGAAGUAGUGCUAAGUUGCCAGUGGAAACUGCCCAUGGGCCACAUGAGAGACCACGGAUCCUGCAAUGCUCGGGAUGCAUAAAGCUGGCACAGAAGUGCUGCAGAGAGGCUGUCACCAGUUAG